RNAcentral lists this long non-coding RNA (644 nucleotides) under Androctonus crassicauda. Lineage: Eukaryota; Metazoa; Arthropoda; Arachnida; Scorpiones; Buthidae. The record is from RNAcentral.
UGCUGAUAAUGAGGGAAAGUUUGCUCCAUUGAAGAAGGUGAGAAUUUUAUCUUAAUUUCAUGUCAAUAUGGAGUUAAAAGGAACAAUGCUAAAUCAACAAGGGACAUUCCUUAAUCCCCGAUUGAAUACCCCCGCUGAAGAUACGAGAUCUUUUGUCCAUAACAACAAUAACGAAAUACAGCGAUAUAAGGUGGAAAUUUACCGAAACCCGGGUCAGACAAGGAGAAAUGCAAGUAAGAGAAGAGGGACGAAAGGAACGAAAAGAGAAGCAGAGGGAGAAGAGUGUAACAGCCAGCCCAGUCCAGUGCUCAGAAAAGUGAUCUUUGCCAAUCACUGAAUCCUCCGACAAACCAUCUCAAUAUCUUGACUGAGUCAAUGUUGGACAGGAGAACACCCACAAGGAAAGUGGAAACAGCUGUCAGUGCCGACUUCAGCAGAACGUUUGUAGUUUGAAUUAAAGACUGUGCUGCCACUUAUUGGACUAAAGACUGUUGCAAAUUGGACUAAAGACUUUAUUUUGAAUUCCGGCGGCAGAUUAGCAAGAAGACCAUACAUCUUCAACAAAAGAAAGGUAUUUGUCCUCUACAAAUGUCCUAAAAACUUUUGCUUGAAAACACCAACAGUUCAGGGAGCACCUUGGCACU